UAAGAGGUCCAGCCUGCCCAGUGACUCUAGUUCAACGGCCGCGGUAUCCUGACCGUGCGAAGGUAGCGUAAUCACUUGUCUUUUAAAUUGAGACUAGUAUGAAAGGCACCACGAGAAUUAAACUGUCUCCUUUUUCUAAUCUGUGAAACUGAUCCCCCCGUGAAGAAGCGGGGAUUUUGAUAUAAGACGAGAAGACCCUAUGGAGCUUCAGACAAAUAACAAUGCCCUCCUCUUUUUUUUCUAAAAAAUACCCGAGCAUCUUAAUUAUUUAGUCUUAGGUUGGGGCGACCAUGGAGUAAAAAUCACCCUCCAUGCUGAACAGGACCUCCUUAAAUAAGAGUAACAACUCUAAGAAUCAAUAAAUUGACACAUUUGACCCAAUUACUUGAUCAACGAAACAAGUUACCCUAGG
RNAcentral lists this ribosomal RNA (412 nucleotides) under Ischnocnema parva. RNAcentral describes it as "partial 16S ribosomal RNA". It matches the Rfam family "Bacterial large subunit ribosomal RNA", at positions 1846 to 2472 of the family's 2925-position model. The record is from RNAcentral. Lineage: Eukaryota; Metazoa; Chordata; Amphibia; Anura; Brachycephalidae.